RNAcentral lists this transfer RNA (2528 nucleotides) under Hevea brasiliensis (rubber tree). The stretch from base 120 to 191 matches the Rfam family "tRNA". The record is from RNAcentral. Lineage: Eukaryota; Viridiplantae; Streptophyta; Magnoliopsida; Malpighiales; Euphorbiaceae.
AUAGAAAAUAAUAAAGUUAUUAUAUCAAUAAAAAAAUAUGCUUGAUAAACUCUAAAAAUUGCUUCUUUUUUUAGCCUUGGCUCUAUUUAUAAAAUUGUAAAGUUUUAUACCACGUACCAUCCGUUGUCGUCCAGCGGUUAGGAUAUCUGGCUUUCACCCAGGAGACCCGGGUUCGAUUCCCGGCAACGGAAGCUGGCACAUUUUUUUUCCCUAGCACCGAAGCUUAGAAUCCAAGCAGUCUUUUAUGCUAACAGUCAAACAGUUACAUGUCUGUUUCUACAAUUUAUUGGAAAAGUUUGUAAUCAUUUCACUCAAAAGUUAGUAAGAAAUUGAUUACAACUCAAAAGCCAGCAACAUGAAAAGAGGAAAACCAUAUUACCAUCUCUUCAGUUAGCUGCUCUUCUCUGUUGUAUGACCUCUCCUCUUCCCCCAUUGCAAACCGGCAUACAGGACAUGUUUUCUGGUACACAUCGAACCAUCUCUCAAUGCAAAACUUAUGGAACUUAUGCAGACAAGGUAGCACCCGCAUGUUGUCUCCUCCAUUCAUUCUCGACAAGCAAACGCAACAGUAUUCACCCUCAGCCUCCAUAUCCUUGGCUGAGCUUGAUUCUCCUGCGGAUUUAAGCAUGGCCUCCUUUGCAUUCUCCGAAACAUCCAAUGCCAUUGCUUCGUAAGUUGUUACAUCUUUAAUCCUUAGAUACCUUCUCAGAGCAAUGAAGUUGUAGAUAAGGGAGGCCAACUUCUUCAAAACCAUUUGAUUUUAAUGGAGAAUUAGCAUUUCUAUUACCUUUAAUAAGAGGACUUAAGCAAGAUGAAAGUGUAUGCAAGUCAGAGCUCUUUCUGUUGUCACUAGUUAUUUUGAGUGGUUUCGAAGAGUUGUUAGAUAUGGAGGAACGAUUUUGAGUUUCCAACAAAAAGCGGUUGUACCUAAACAUGAGUGUUACUCUUGACCUUUUCAAAGAUACUAGUAAAUACCUACUGCCUCAUCUUAGUAGCUCAACUCCUGCUUCAUCCUUUCAUUAAGUACUUUGUCUUCAAGUCAUAAGAUGCAAUCAAGUACUAAAUUAUCAUUUUCUCACCUUUGGAUCCAGCAAAUUUGUCUCACAAAAUGGAUAAUCCUCAAGACUAUAAUAUUGCUACAAGCAAAAAUCAAGAAUUCAUAUAGAUACAGGAAAAAUCCCUGUCACAUUAAUAUUUAUUGCUUUUACCAUCUUUCAAUCACUAAUACAAUAUGUAAAGACCACUACUACAAAUGGUACUACAUCCUUGAUAGUGAAAUGAUGAUUGCUUGGUGGAUUGCAUAAAAGAAAAAUAUUCUAAAUUCAGGAGUCCAAGUGCAGAUCAUUGGUCUAUGAAUCUAAGAAAUAGCAGGAAUUCUUCAUCUAUAGCAAUAUCAGUUGAAUUGUCUACAAGUUGUAAUUGGCAAUCAAUUACUAAAUUAUCAUCUUUUCACCCCUUGCUCUAGAAAACUUGUCAAUGUAAUGGCUAAUCCUCAAGACUAUCAUUAGCUACAAGCACCACCUACAGUAACCUUUGCAAGUCCAUUUGUGUCUGUCAAAACUCAAGCAAUUAUCCUGCCCGAUUUAUUCAACUUCUACUGAAGAUCAUGUUUACAGCAAAUGAUGCUCAAGCACAAACAAAUUCAACAUUUUUUGACAAGUUAUUGUCAAAAAGUGAAGAACAAAUAUUGAUAUUGCAUUGGCAAGUGAGAAAUAUAGAAUCGUUCAAAAACUACUGUAAUAAGAGAGUCACGUAUAAAUAUCUGAUAUGCAAGUCUAACAAACGAAGGUAUGAAUUAAAUGAGCAAUAAACUAGGGGCACCUCUCCUCUUCCCAUACCCACACCCCAUUCAGUGGGAUUUGAACUCAAUACCUUAUGCACCUAUAUAUCCGAUAUGUAUGUCUAACAUCAAGUAAUUAGAUGGUUAUCUAAAGAUCAAAAUAACUCAGCCAUGUGGAGAAGGGCACAGGGGAGAUACAACAUCCAAAAGCAGAAAAAAAAAGAACCUAUUUCAGUCAACCUUAAAAUAAAACACAUUUAUAAACCAUUGAAUACAAACAACUUUAUUGCAGCUCAACACAUGAUCAAAACCUCAAAGGUCUGCAGAAGAUGAUUCAGGGCCUUUUAGAAGCUGACACUGUUCAUAUUUCUUUUCCUGGUAAUAUUGGCUAACUUGUAUGAUGAUAGAAGUUUUUAUUCAUCAGCUGAUAAUACUAAUAACAUAACAUACAAUUCAAUUCAAUUCAACUCAGCAUUGAUUCCAAUUUGGGUAAUUAUAUGGAUCUGUUUUCUUAUAACAUAGCAUUUGCUUACAACAGUUAAAAUAAACAACAACCUCCCCCAUAAGCCAGCCAACCCCACCCCCCUUUCCUUCCUUCAAAAAAGAAAGAAAGAAAACUGCAUAUGCAUAAAACAUGGUUAUGCUUCUUAUUGUUAAAAAUCUAAUAAUAAACACAAGUGAGAUGCACGCAUAGGAACUUUUCCAUUUUUGAAAGCAUUGAACUAGAUAAAGGAGGAGGGUUGCGGUA